UUUAGAAGUAUUUUAACUUUUAUAUAAAAAUUAUUGGUAGAAACACACACUCUUACUUAAACUGCAUAUUAUUUUGAACGGACUAUCUAAUUUUUCAAAAUUUUAACUUUACUAUUCAAUCUUUCUAACUUCAAAAUUUAAAUACGUCGUUUACUUUUACAGAUUUAGUUAACAUACUUACAUAUGAUUCUAACAACUAUAAAUUUAAUAAAAUAAAAAAUUAAGUUAAAUUUUAAAAUUAAAGUGUUGCAAUAAUACACCCUCUCAUGAUCUCAUCUGUUCCAUCCCCAUUGGGUAAGUUGCCCACUAACUACCUUCAAUGGUUGGUGGCCCGUCCCAAGAACUGCCGUAAAAGGACAGUACGUAUUUGCAACACAUUGAUUGAUACUGCAUGGAGCCAUGAAUCCAUGCCUUUCAACAACGCAAUAAUUCCAGCCCAUGCAGUUGUCCCUGGCGGCUGGCGCACGUUGCAAAAAACUUGAUAAUUGAUAUCCGAGGUCUCAAGUUUGUAUUCUAAUUUAUUCACAUUUUUAACUAAAUUUUUCUAAAUAAAAUAAACGAAGCGGAUAGCAUACUACCUAUCUCUCAAAAAAAAAAAAAUUUUUUUUUUAGCCUGUAUGGUGCCGCAGAUAUAAAAUAUUUUAAAAAUAAAUUAUUUGUUUUUUAAUUGUACGUAUUUUUUUUAUUUUAACUAUUAGUUAAAUUUGCUUAACUAAUAAUAAUUUAAAUCGGUAUAUGUGCGAUAUAGUUUUUUAUAGGGUAAAUUGCAUAUUUGAUUAUUCAAAUUUUAAUUUCUUAUAAUUAAUCUUUGGGUCCAACUUUUAGAUUUUAUAUAUUAAUUGACUAAAUAUUAAUUUAUCGCUAACGCAAAAGUGAAAUAAUAAUAUUGCAUCAAUGAUUAAAAUGGUACAUUACUUUUACAUGAAUGAUCAAUCAAUAUUUAGUCAAUUAAAAGUUCGAGCGAAAGAUUAUAAUAAAUUAUUAUUUGAAGAUUAAAAUAUUGUCUGGCUCAUAGUUUGAGGACCAAACAUACAAUUUACUCGAUUUU
Molecule: long non-coding RNA, 1048 nt
Filed under: Ananas comosus (pineapple)
Lineage: Eukaryota; Viridiplantae; Streptophyta; Magnoliopsida; Poales; Bromeliaceae
Description: long non-coding RNA (ACOM_LNC016160)
Source: RNAcentral